UCCAGACUCCUACGGGAGGCAGCAGUGGGGAAUAUUGCACAAUGGGGGAAACCCUGAUGCAGCGACGCCGCGUGAGUGAAGAAGUAUUUCGGUAUGUAAAGCUCUCUCAGCAGGGAAGAUAAUGACGGUACCUGAGUAAGAAGCCCCGGCUAACUACGUGCCAGCAGCCGCGGUAAUACGUAGGGGGCAAGCGUUAUCCGGAUUUACUGGGUGUAAAGGGAGCGUAGACGGCAUGGCAAGUCUGAAGUGAAAGCCCGGGGCUCAACCGCGGGACUGCUUUGGAAACUGUGCAGCUCGAGUGCAGGAGAGGUAAGCGGAAUUCCUAGUGUAGCGGUGAAAUGCGUAGAUAUUAGGAGGAACACCAGUGGCGAAGGCGGCUUACUGGACUGUAACUGACGUUGAGGCUCGAAAGCGUGGGGAGCAAACAGGAUUAGAUACCCGAGUACA
RNAcentral lists this ribosomal RNA (447 nucleotides) under uncultured bacterium. RNAcentral's name for it is "bacterial SSU rRNA". It matches the Rfam family "Bacterial small subunit ribosomal RNA", at positions 330 to 797 of the family's 1533-position model. The record is from RNAcentral.